Molecule: ribosomal RNA, 142 nt
Filed under: uncultured Alphaproteobacteria bacterium
Lineage: Bacteria; Pseudomonadati; Pseudomonadota; Alphaproteobacteria
Description: partial 16S ribosomal RNA
Rfam family: Bacterial small subunit ribosomal RNA
Source: RNAcentral
AGCGUUGUUCGGAAUUACUGGGCGUAAAGCGCACGUAGGCGGAUUGCUAAGUCAGGGGUGAAAUCCUGGAGCUCAACUCCAGAACUGCCCUUGAUACUGGCGAUCUCGAGUCCGGGAGAGGUGAGUGGAACUGCGAGUGUAG